Long non-coding RNA from Cornus florida, 1017 nucleotides. RefSeq lists it as uncharacterized. NCBI's taxonomy places the organism in Eukaryota, Viridiplantae, Streptophyta, Magnoliopsida, Cornales, Cornaceae. The record is from RefSeq and is a predicted model, not a curated record. The transcript is spliced from 2 exons.
AUAUAAAUGUUAAAAGUUAUAUUAUUGGCCUGGGACCCACCACCACUUUUUGCCAUCACAAAUGACCAAGGGUCAUUACAGAAACCAUCAGUUCUUGCUCUCUGUUACGUCUCUCUCUGUCUCGCUGCUUUUCUUUUCUUUUUUUUUAUUCUACUCAAUUUAAGCUUGAUUAAUCUUCAAUACUUAGUAAUUUUAAGUGCCGUUUGCGGCAAAUUGAAGCCCACGACGAGGUCUUCAAAUCCAUACCAGUAAUUUCAACUUUUGGUCAUUCUAGGAAGUCCGAAAAUUGAGACCCAUUUUGAGAUGAAAAUUGAGGGUUUUGCAUAAAAGUGAGGAAACGGGAAAGAAGUGGCGGAUGACGUUCCACCACAGGCCUAAAUUGGAUUAGAAGAUUGUUUUGCUAUUUUUGUAUUUAAGUCCCAUAUUUUUUGUAAAAUAAUCUUAGUUUGUUAUAUUUGGUAUAGAGAUUUGUGAACUCUUAUUAUUGUAAUUGUAUUUAUGGGCUGUAAUUUUAUUAUAAGUGGUCUAAAUGUUGUAAGACAUGGACUUUAGAUCUUAACCAUGUAUUGUUGGGACUGUAAUCACGAUAUUUGGAUUAAAUGGUACGUGGAUGCUCCACCGUGAGAUGAACUAUGUUGAGGCCUGAUGAAUGGAUCAAAAGGGAUGCCGGAAUGUAUUAUUUGCAUUUUUAUGCAUUUAAGCAUGUUGUUAUAGAAUCCCUUUUAGCAGAAGUCAUACCGAUUUUUCUUUAUAAAUGGUAUCAGUUUAAGUGUAAUUACAGGUACAACAAAAGGUGUUUACUUUUCCCUUCCUUGAAGUCAAUGACGGAGCCCGGAUUUCAAGUGAGGGGGGCACACUGUCAAAAAAAAAAAAUACAGAGUACACACACACACAAUAUAUAUAUAUAUAUAUAUAUAUAUAUAUAUAUAUAUAUAUAUAUAUAUAACAAUUAUAAAAUUCAAAAAGACAAAGAAGAAGAAAAUUAUUAAAAUAUAAAAGGAAAGAAAAAUGAAAUAA